This 298-nucleotide ribosomal RNA is filed under the name uncultured bacterium. Its description in RNAcentral is "partial 16S ribosomal RNA". It matches the Rfam family "Bacterial small subunit ribosomal RNA", at positions 29 to 355 of the family's 1533-position model. The record is from RNAcentral.
AACGAACGCUGGCGGCAGGCCUAACACAUGCAAGUCGAACGCCGUAGCAAUACGGAGUGGCAGACGGGUGAGUAACACGUGGGAACAUGCCCUCGUUCGGAAUAACUCAGGGAACUUGAGCUAAUACCGAAUACGUCCGCGAGGAGAAAGAUUCAUCGCCGGAGGAUUGGCCCGCGUCCGAUUAGCUAGUUGGUGAGGUAACGGCUCACCAAGGCGACGAUCGGUAGCUGGCUGAGAGGAUGAUCAGCCACCAUUGGGACGUGAGACACGGCCCAAACUACCUACGGGAGGCAGCAGU